This 58-nucleotide small RNA is filed under the name Helianthus annuus (common sunflower). Lineage: Eukaryota; Viridiplantae; Streptophyta; Magnoliopsida; Asterales; Asteraceae. The record is from RNAcentral.
CACUGGUUGAGAGCCGACAUUGCUCUCCUGAUGAGUCCAAGACAGGACGAAACAAGUG